CUGUCCUACGGGGCGCAGCAGUGGGGAAUAUUGCACAGUGGGGGGAACCCUGAUGCAGCGACGCCGCGUGAGUGAAGAAGUAUUUCGGUAUGUAAAGCUCUGUCAGCAGGGAAGAAGAAAGACGGUACCUGACCAAGAAGCCCCGGCUAACUACGUGCCAGCAGCCGCGGUAAUACGUAGGGGGCAAGCGUUAUCCGGAUUUACUGGGUGUAAAGGGAGCGUAGACGGCAGGGCAAGUCUGGAGUGAAAGGCAGGGGCCCAAC
Molecule: ribosomal RNA, 263 nt
Filed under: uncultured bacterium
Lineage: Bacteria
Description: partial 16S ribosomal RNA
Rfam family: Bacterial small subunit ribosomal RNA
Source: RNAcentral